UUCGGCGCGAAUUGCCCUUGAGUUUGAUCCUGGCUCAGAGUGAACGCUGGCGGCAGGCCUAACACAUGCAAGUCGAGCGGCAGCGCGGGGGCAACCCUGGCGGCGAGCGGCGGACGGGUGAGGAAUGCAUCGGAAUCUACCUCGUUGUGGGGGAUAACCUCGGGAAACCGGGACUAAUACCGCAUACGACCUACGGGUGAAAGUGGGGGACCUUCGGGCCUCACGCGAUGAGAUGAGCCGAUGCCGGAUUAGCUAGUUGGCGGGGUAAAGGCCCACCAAGGCGACGAUCCGUAGCUGGUCUGAGAGGAUGAUCAGCCACACUGGAACUGAGACACGGUCCAGACUCCUACGGGAGGCAGCAGUGGGGAAUAUUGGACAAUGGGCGCAAGCCUGAUCCAGCCAUGCCGCGUGUGUGAAGAAGGCCUUCGGGUUGUAAAGCACUUUUGUUGGGGAAGAAACCGGCCGGAUUAAUACUUCGGCUGAAUGACGGUACCCAAAGAAUAAGCACCGGCUAACUUCGUGCCAGCAGCCGCGGUAAUACGAAGGGUGCAAGCGUUACUCGGAAUUACUGGGCGUAAAGCGUGCGCAGGCGGAUUGUUAAGCAAGAUGUGAAAUCCCCGGGCUUAACCUGGGAAUGGCAUUUUGAACUGGCAGUCUAGAGUGCGUCAGAGGGGGGUGGAAUUCCACGUGUAGCAGUGAAAUGCGUAGAGAUGUGGAGGAACACCGAUGGCGAAGGCAGCCCCCUNGGGAUGACACUGACGCUCAUGUACGAAAGCGUGGGUAGCAAACAGGAUUAGAUACCCUGGUAGUCCACGCCCUAAACGAUGUCAACUGGUUGUUGGGGGAGUGAAAUCCCUUAGUAACGAAGCUAACGCGUGAAGUUGACCGCCUGGGGAGUACGGUCGCAAGAUUAAAACUCAAAGGAAUUGACGGGGACCCGCACAAGCGGUGGAUGAUGUGGAUUAAUUCGAUGCAACGCGAAAAACCUUACCUACCCUUGACAUGUCCGGAAUCCUGCAGAGAUGCGGGAGUGCCCGAAAGGGAAUCGGAACACAGGUGCUGCAUGGCUGUCGUCAGCUCGUGUCGUGAGAUGUUGGGUUAAGUCCCGCAACGAGCGCAACCCUUGUCAUUAGUUGCUACGAAAGGGCACUCUAAUGAGACUGCCGGUGACAAACCGGAGGAAGGUGGGGAUGACGUCAAGUCCUCAUGGCCCUUAUAGGUGGGGCUACACACGUCAUACAAUGGCCGGUACAAAGGGCAGCCAACCCGCGAGGGGGAGCCAAUCCCAUAAAGCCGGUCGUAGUCCGGAUCGCAGUCUGCAACUCGACUGCGUGAAGUCGGAAUCGCUAGUAAUCGUGGAUCAGCAUGUCACGGUGAAUACGUUCCCGGGUCUUGUACACACCGCCCGUCACACCAUGGGAGCGGGUCUCGCCAGAAGUAGGUAGCCUAACCGCAAGGAGGGCGCUUACCACGGCGGGGUUCGUGACUGGGGUGAAGUCGUAANCAAGGUACCNAGGGCGAAUUCNUAACUC
Molecule: ribosomal RNA, 1532 nt
Filed under: uncultured bacterium
Lineage: Bacteria
Description: partial 16S ribosomal RNA
Rfam family: Bacterial small subunit ribosomal RNA
Source: RNAcentral